GCAGAAGACUUGUCUCUUGGCGAGGGACGGGCGCCGCUGACCCAGCACGUCCAGGACCAGUCCGUCGGCGGCCCCCACGCGGGUCCUGGGCUCCAGCUCUUCGCCGGGGGGCGCCUCCUGCUGUUCAUCCCCUCCCUCUUUUCGAUCCCCAGCUUCCUCCUCUUCCUCCUCCAGCUCCAACUGCAGUGGCAAGGUCUGGGGAUUGAGAGGCCCGGCAUGACUAAGAGAUAUCGUGAAAUUACAACUCAACAAUGAAUUACAGCACAGGCUUUUCACAACUAAGAGACUGUCCAUCAUGGUGCCAGUUUUUCUCAAAAUGGCAUGUGUGCAUGAAAUUCUACAGGCAUAUGGGGUCGUGAUCUGCUAAUCUCCAGUUAUUAUAACUCCUUCCUGUUGCCUUGUGAAGAAGGCUCCUGCUUCCCCUUCACCUUCUGCGCGAUUGUAAGUUUCCUGAGGCCUCCUAGCCAUGCUUCUUGUUCACUCUGCGGAACUGUCCUGAGCUGAAAAGAAUAUGAGAAAUCGGAUUUUACGACAUACCAAAUUAUGAUUGUAUGUCCCAGAAAUUCACUUAGAAGCUAAUAGAAAAAAUGAAACCAAAGCCUUUUGAGAGUUGAAAAUUUAUCAUGACAUAUGCUGGCUGCACAGUCAAAACUUAUCACUGCCCACGACUUCGGAAGCAUGACAGGAGAGCUGUGGGAGCCACUUCCUCGUCAGACGUGGUUUGAUAUGUCAAGUGAGAACCUGAGUAAAGCAAAGAGGUGAACUAUGACUUGGAAUCCUCCAGGCUUUGGCUUCCAUCACACUCCAUGAACUUGAUGCACAUAAUUUAAUAAACUGCUGAUGCUGACCUGUGCCUCAAGAGGCUUGCCUGUUUGGGGGAGAAGCCUGAUGUGGAGACCAUUGGAAGAGGCUAAGGCAAGCUACCUGUUCCUUAAACAGAUUGUUCAACCUAUUCCAGUUUUUGGUCCUCUACCUCACACAUUCCUUCCACUUCCAAAUCCUGUUGUUAGAGGAUGUUACCUGCCAAAUUUGUACUUUGGAAUCCUCCUCUGCAUGUUCAUAAGUUUUUGGGUUUUCCUUUCUGCUCACUUGCCAAUCCUCUAUCUACUUUCAAUCUUCUAAAAAUUGCUGAAACUUCUUGUCUCACUGUUAAUUCUUUAACAUCAAUUUGUUGGUAUUUUAGGAUAAAAUAUAAGUAAGUGUAUAUCUUCAACCAGCUAUCAUUAAAUGGAAAAUUUCUGGUAUUAUUUUAUACUUUCAUCUAUUUUCCUGUAGACAUUUAAACAAGAAGUCUCUGUGUGUAUGUGCACAUAUUCAAUGUUUUAACUACAAAAUAUAAAUUUCUUCUUGUAAAACAGACAACAUAAGGGUUUUCUUGAAGUCCCCUUUUAAAUAUAACAGGAAUUCCUCAGUGUGAUCUGUGCCAUGUAUAUCAGCAGGUUAUUUAAUUCCUGUAUGCUUUGUAAUUUUCAGCUCAAAAUUAUGACUUUUGACACAAACCACAAGUCUCAAUGUCACAAAAUAAGGUAGAAAACCACAAACAAGCUGGGCAUGGUGGCUCAUGCCAUAUAAUCCCAGCACUUUGGGGGGGCCGAGGCAGGCGGAUCACAAGGUCAGGAGAUCAAGACCAUCCUGGCUAACAUGGUGAAACCCCGUCUCUACUAAAUAUACAAAAAGUUAGCUGGGCGUGGUGCCACAUGCCUGUAGUCCCAGCUACUCCGAAGGCUGAGGCAGGAGAAUCGCUUGAACCCGGGAGGCGGAGGUUUCAGUAAGCCGAAAUCGUGCCACUACCCUCCAGCCUGGGCAAAAGAGCGA
Molecule: long non-coding RNA, 1815 nt
Organism: Homo sapiens (human)
Lineage: Eukaryota; Metazoa; Chordata; Mammalia; Primates; Hominidae
Gene: RNF217-AS1
Product: RNF217 antisense RNA 1 (head to head)
Source: Ensembl